GUGGGGAAUAUUGGGCAAUGGGCGAAAGCCUGACCCAGCAACGCCGCGUGAAGGAAGAAGGUUUUCGGAUCGUAAACUUCUUUUGCAGGGGAAUAAAGUGCAGGACGUGUCCUGUUUUGUAUGUACCCUGAGAAUAAGGAUCGGCUAACUCCGUGCCAGCAGCCGCGGUAAUACGGAGGAUCCGAGCGUUAUCCGGAUUUAUUGGGUUUAAAGGGUGCGUAGGUGGUUUGAUAAGUCAGCGGUGAAAGUUUGCAGCUUAACUGUAAAAAUGCCGUUGAAACUGUCGGACUUGAGUGUAAAUGAGGUAGGCGGAAUGCGUGGUGUAGCGGUGAAAUGCAUAGAUAUCACGCAGAACUCCGAUUGUGAAGGCAGCUUACUAAGCUACAACUGACACUGAAGCACGAAAGCGUGGGGAUCAAACAGGAUUAGAAACCCUGGUAGUCC
Molecule: ribosomal RNA, 444 nt
Filed under: uncultured bacterium
Lineage: Bacteria
Description: partial 16S ribosomal RNA
Rfam family: Bacterial small subunit ribosomal RNA
Source: RNAcentral